GACGAACGCUGGCGGCGUGCCUAACACAUGCAAGUCGAACGGAAAGGCCCUGCUUUUGUGGGGUGCUCGAGUGGCGAACGGGUGAGUAACACGUGAGUAACCUGCCCUUGACUUUGGGAUAACUUCAGGAAACUGGGGCUAAUACCGGAUAGGAGCCCCUGCUGCAUGGUGGGGGUUGGAAAGUUUCGGCGGUUGGGGAUGGACUCGCGGCUGAUCAGCUUGUUGGUGGGGUAGUGGCUUACCAAGGCUUUGACGGGUAGCCGGCCUGGGAGGGUGACCGGCCACAUUGGGACUGAGAGACGGCCCAGACUCCUACGGGAGGCAGCAGUGGGGAAUAUUGCACAAUGAGCGGGAGCCUGAUGAAGAAGCGCCGCGUGCGGGAUGACGGCCUUCGGGUUGUAAACCGCUUUCGCCUGUGACGAAGCGUGAGUGACGGUAAUGGGUAAAGAAGCACCGGCUAACUACGUG
Molecule: ribosomal RNA, 468 nt
Filed under: uncultured bacterium
Lineage: Bacteria
Description: partial 16S ribosomal RNA
Rfam family: Bacterial small subunit ribosomal RNA
Source: RNAcentral